This 253-nucleotide ribosomal RNA is filed under the name uncultured prokaryote. Its description in RNAcentral is "partial 16S ribosomal RNA". It matches the Rfam family "Bacterial small subunit ribosomal RNA", at positions 524 to 776 of the family's 1533-position model. The record is from RNAcentral.
UACAGAGGGGGCAAGCGUUAUUCGGAAUUAUUGGGCGUAAAGGGCGCGUAGGCGGUCCUUCAAGUCUCUCGUGAAAUCCCUCGGCUUAACUGAGGACGUGCGGGAGAUACUGCUGGGCUUGAGUCCGGAAGAGGGUGGUGGAAUUCCAGGUGUAGCGGUGAAAUGCGUAGAUAUCUGGAGGAACACCGGUGGCGAAGGCGGCAUCCUGGACCAAUACUGACACUGAGGAGCGAAAGCCAGGGGAGCAAACGGG